UAGGGAAUCUUUCGCAAUGGGCGAAAGCCUGACGGAGCAACGCCGCGUGAGUGAUGAAGGGUUUCGGCUCGUAAAACUCUGUUAUUAGGGAAGAACAAAUGUGUAAGUAACUGUGCACAUCUUGACGGUACCUAAUCAGAAAGCCACGGCUAACUACGUGCCAGCAGCCGCGGUAAUACGUAGGUGGCAAGCGUUAUCCGGAAUUAUUGGGCGUAAAGCGCGCGUAGGCGGUUUCUUAAGUCUGAUGUGAAAGCCGACGGCUCAACCGUGGAGGGUCAUUGGAAACUGGGAAACUUGAGUGCAGAAGAGGAAAGUGGAAUUCCAUGUGUAGCGGUGAAAUGCGCAGAGGUAUGGAGGAAAACCAGUGGCGAAGGCGACUUUCUGGUCUGUAACUGACGCUGAUGUGCGAAAGCGUGGGGAUCAAACAGG
RNAcentral lists this ribosomal RNA (429 nucleotides) under Bacillota bacterium. RNAcentral's name for it is "Firmicutes bacterium partial 16S ribosomal RNA". It matches the Rfam family "Bacterial small subunit ribosomal RNA", at positions 355 to 776 of the family's 1533-position model. Lineage: Bacteria; Bacillati; Bacillota. The record is from RNAcentral.